Molecule: ribosomal RNA, 1464 nt
Filed under: Staphylococcus warneri
Lineage: Bacteria; Bacillati; Bacillota; Bacilli; Caryophanales; Staphylococcaceae
Description: bacterial SSU rRNA
Rfam family: Bacterial small subunit ribosomal RNA
Source: RNAcentral
UGUAGGAUGAACGCUGGCGGCGUGCCUAAUACAUGCAAGUCGAGCGAACAGAUAAGGAGCUUGCUCCUUUGACGUUAGCGGCGGACGGGUGAGUAACACGUGGAUAACCUACCUAUAAGACUGGGAUAACUUCGGGAAACCGGAGCUAAUACCGGAUAACAUAUUGAACCGCAUGGUUCAAUAGUGAAAGGCGGCUUUGCUGUCACUUAUAGAUGGAUCCGCGCCGUAUUAGCUAGUUGGUAAGGUAACGGCUUACCAAGGCAACGAUACGUAGCCGACCUGAGAGGGUGAUCGGCCACACUGGAACUGAGACACGGUCCAGACUCCUACGGGAGGCAGCAGUAGGGAAUCUUCCGCAAUGGGCGAAAGCCUGACGGAGCAACGCCGCGUGAGUGAUGAAGGUCUUCGGAUCGUAAAACUCUGUUAUCAGGGAAGAACAAAUGUGUAAGUAACUGUGCACAUCUUGACGGUACCUGAUCAGAAAGCCACGGCUAACUACGUGCCAGCAGCCCGCGGUAAUACGUAGGUGGCAAGCGUUAUCCGGAAUUAUUGGGCGUAAAGCGCGCGUAGGCGGUUUUUUAAGUCUGAUGUGAAAGCCCACGGCUCAACCGUGGAGGGUCAUUGGAAACUGGAAAACUUGAGUGCAGAAGAGGAAAGUGGAAUUCCAUGUGUAGCGGUGAAAUGCGCAGAGAUAUGGAGGAACACCAGUGGCGAAGGCGACUUUCUGGUCUGUAACUGACGCUGAUGUGCGAAAGCGUGGGGAUCAAACAGGAUUAGAUACCCUGGUAGUCCACGCCGUAAACGAUGAGUGCUAAGUGUUAGGGGGUUUCCGCCCCUUAGUGCUGCAGCUAACGCAUUAAGCACUCCGCCUGGGGAGUACGACCGCAAGGUUGAAACUCAAAGGAAUUGACGGGGACCCGCACAAGCGGUGGAGCAUGUGGUUUAAUUCGAAGCAACGCGAAGAACCUUACCAAAUCUUGACAUCCUUUGACCGCUCUAGAGAUAGAGUUUUCCCCUUCGGGGGACAAAGUGACAGGUGGUGCAUGGUUGUCGUCAGCUCGUGUCGUGAGAUGUUGGGUUAAGUCCCGCAACGAGCGCAACCCUUAAGCUUAGUUGCCAUCAUUAAGUUGGGCACUCUAAGUUGACUGCCGGUGACAAACCGGAGGAAGGUGGGGAUGACGUCAAAUCAUCAUGCCCCUUAUGAUUUGGGCUACACACGUGCUACAAUGGACAAUACAAAGGGCAGCUAAACCGCGAGGUCAAGCAAAUCCCAUAAAGUUGUUCUCAGUUCGGAUUGUAGUCUGCAACUCGACUACAUGAAGCUGGAAUCGCUAGUAAUCGUAGAUCAGCAUGCUACGGUGAAUACGUUCCCGGGUCUUGUACACACCGCCCGUCACACCACGAGAGUUUGUAACACCCGAAGCCGGUGGAGUAACCAUUUAUGGAGCUAGCCGUCGAAGUGAC